AGGGAUCAUUAAAGAGUUGUAAAAAAAACUCCCUAAACCACNUGNNNNUCUACCUAUUUCGUUGCUUCGGCAGGCGGCCCCAGGGNGGGGCCAUGGCCUGUNAAGGUGCCUGCCGGAGGGCACAAAAGCUCGAUUAUUUUAGUGGCCGUCUGAGUUAAGAAAACAAAACAAGUCAAAACUUUCAACAACGGAUCUCUUGGUUCUGGCAUCGAUGAAGAACGCAGCGAAAUGCGAUAAGUAAUGUGAAUUGCAGAAUUCAGUGAAUCAUCGAAUCUUUGAACGCACAUUGCGCCCGCCAGCAUUCUGGCGGGCAUGCCUGUUCGAGCGUCAUUUCAACCCUCAAGCCUUCUUGNNGUUGGGGUGCUACGGGGUAACCCCCGUAGGCCCUCAAGAUUAGUGGCGGGCUCGCUGAAACCCCGAGCGUAGUAGUUUGUCUCCCUCGCUCAGGGCGUUUCGGCGGGUUUCCAGCCGUUAAACCCUCUAAAUUUUCAAGAUUGACCUCGGAUCAGGUAGGAAUACCCGCUGAACUUAAGCAUAUCAAUAAGCGGAGGAAAAGAAACCAACAGGGAUUGCCCCAGUAACGGCGAGUGAAGCGGCAACAGCUCAAAUUUGAAAUCUGGCCCCCAGGCCCGAGUUGUAAUUUGUAGAGGAUGCUUUUGGCACGGUGCCUUCUGAGUUCCCUGGAACGGGACGCCACAGAGGGUGAGAGCCCCGUAUAGUCGGACACCAAGCCUCUGUAAAGCUCCUUCGACGAGUCGAGUAGUUUGGGAAUGCUGCUCAAAAUGGGAGGUAAAUUUCUUCUAAAGCUAAAUACCGGCCAGAGACCGAUAGCGCACAAGUAGAGUGAUCGAAAGAUGAAAAGCACUUUGGAAAGAGGGUUAAACAGCACGUGAAAUUGUUGAAAGGGAAGCGCUUGUGACCAGACUUGUGCCUGGCGAAUCAUCCAGCGUUCUCGCUGGUGCACUUCGCCUGGUUCAGGCCAGCAUCGGUUGUCUCAGGGGGAUAAAAGCUCCGGGAACGUAGCUCNNNCNNNNAGUGUUACAGCCCUCUGCGUAAUGCCUCUGAGGGGACCGAGGUCGCGCUCUGC
RNAcentral lists this ribosomal RNA (1087 nucleotides) under uncultured Pezizomycotina. RNAcentral's name for it is "eukaryotic LSU rRNA". The stretch from base 496 to 1087 matches the Rfam family "Eukaryotic large subunit ribosomal RNA", at positions 1 to 603 of the family's 3401-position model. The record is from RNAcentral. Lineage: Eukaryota; Fungi; Ascomycota.